This 984-nucleotide long non-coding RNA is filed under the name Vigna radiata. RNAcentral's name for it is "long non-coding RNA (VRAD_LNC007268)". Lineage: Eukaryota; Viridiplantae; Streptophyta; Magnoliopsida; Fabales; Fabaceae. The record is from RNAcentral.
AUCUCCGUACGGUUUGGGGUGGUUGCUGAAACGGCGUCGUCAUCUUAUCAUUUUGGUUGAGGCUUGGAUGCGCCGAAUGAGGAUAAACGAACUUACACAGUAGGCCGUUGAUAGCGGUCACUGACUCUGAUCAGCGUUUGACAGAGGUAAGGAAAGGCUUUGCGUCCUGUGGUGUAUUUUUGUUUUUAAUUGUAUUUAUUUAUAUUUUUUAUUUUUUGGAUGGAGGACGGUUUUGAACUUUGUUGUGAUGACAGUGGGUACAUCAGAUUCCAUGCUCUCUCGCCAAGGAUUUCUUUCCAACUUUUUCAAUUCCCUCCACUCACCCUUUCUUAUCCACCUCACACUUUUUCUUAAUUCCUAUUGUACAAUAUAUAUUAGGCGUAAGAUGCUAAUAUUUUAUUAUUUAUUUCAAUGGCUUCCCACAAUCUCCUUUCUCUAUUUCUCAUUCCCUCUGUUGCACUCAUCUCCUAGUCACGCACAUAAAGUCCUUAUUCUAAAUAUAUAUAUUUAUAUGUAGGUUUUAGACAUCCAUUGCCAAUGCACAUGUGCGCUUUCUGAUCAUUACAUUAUAUUUUAGUUCAGAGAAGAUUUUAUGCUAUUUCUGUAAUAAUGUUUCAAUUCUGGAUUUACUAAAGCUUCUCUAUAUCAAAUAUGAUUUUCAUAUUGCUAUAUAUCCUUCCCUUUGGAUUUAUUGUUUGUGCCCUUGAUCCAGUAAUCUACUAAAGAUGCUGGUUUCCAAGUACUGUUGUUGAACUGUGAAAUAUUAUUCUUACAUUCAAGAGCAAGUAUUCAUGUAAUGUAAUGUAUUAUUCUUAUAAGAAUGUGUGUACUAAUUCCCAUAUAUAAAAGACCCUUUACUUGUGUUCAUAAGUAUAUGAAUGUUCACUUGUGAUUAGCCCUCAGUAAGCAGUCAAUAACCGUAUGAAAUUGUCAAAGGAAGUUAACAGCCUUGGCAGGAAGCACAUGAUUUCGCGUCCCAACCUU